UACAGAGGGGGCAAGCGUUGUUCGGAAUUACUGGGCGUAAAGGGCUCGUAGGUGGCCAACUAAGUCAGACGUGAAAUCCCUCGGCUUAACCGGGGAACUGCGUCUGAUACUGGAUGGCUUGAGUUCGGGAGAGGGAUGCGGAAUUCCAGGUGUAGCGGUGAAAUGCGUAGAUAUCUGGAGGAACACCGGUGGCGAAGGCGGCUAUCUGGACAGUGACUGACGCUGAGACGCGAAAGCGUGGGGAGCAAACGGG
RNAcentral lists this ribosomal RNA (253 nucleotides) under uncultured bacterium. RNAcentral describes it as "partial 16S ribosomal RNA". It matches the Rfam family "Bacterial small subunit ribosomal RNA", at positions 524 to 776 of the family's 1533-position model. The record is from RNAcentral.